This 777-nucleotide unclassified non-coding RNA is filed under the name Hevea brasiliensis (rubber tree). The record is from RNAcentral. Lineage: Eukaryota; Viridiplantae; Streptophyta; Magnoliopsida; Malpighiales; Euphorbiaceae.
AAAAAUAAAAAAAUGAAAAAACAAUGAGGGAAAAAAGUAAAGAAAAGAACACCAACAAAAUUAAUAUCCUACCCCUUCUUAUUAAAAUUAAGAUCUUUUGAUGGUUCCUGCUACUAAUGCAAAUGUAAACUAAGAUGAAAUACAUUAAAUUUGUGAAACAGCCUGUAGAUGGAGGAACCUACUAUUGUUGGUCUGUUCCCCGUUUAUUAUUUUACAGGUGAAGAGAUAUUGGAUUUAAAAGCACCAAGAUGCCGUGAAGAUGUAGAACUCUCACACCCAAAACAUUCCAAUUCAAUAAAAAAACCAAAUAUGACCAGAGGUUACAUCCUUAUCCGAAAAAAAUCAGAAAAUUCCUAAAUUUACACUAUGAAAAAAUUAUUCAUUUAAUAAGUUUAAUACAACUAGAAAAUGCAAAGGAAGAAUAAAAGCUGUGAAAAGAUCAUUCCCUCCAUUACCAGCUUUGUAACAAUUAGGGUCCAGCUAUGCCUACAGGGAGGAAUAUAUAAUAUGUUAGAAAUGCCCUUGCAUAUAUGGGAAAGUAGUUACCACAGUGCCUUUAUCCACAAGGUACAGCCAUUAAGCCCACAAAGGCCUUCCUACUCCUUUUCUAAACAAAAUCCAAAAAUAUAUAGGGGAAUUGAAGCCCACACAAUUUUUCCCUACUUUUAGAAGAGCAAUUAUGCCCACCAAGCCACAAUUCAUUUUCAAUUUGCUAUGCAGCUAGUCAACAUGAUCCCAUUCCAAGGAACAAAUAGGCAAUUCUCAAAGCUAUCCACA